RNAcentral lists this ribosomal RNA (305 nucleotides) under uncultured bacterium. Its description in RNAcentral is "bacterial SSU rRNA". It matches the Rfam family "Bacterial small subunit ribosomal RNA", at positions 335 to 658 of the family's 1533-position model. The record is from RNAcentral.
AGCCUACGGGGGGCAGCAGUGGGGAAUAUUGCACAAUGGGGGAAACCCUGAUGCAGGGACGCCGCGUGAGUGAGGAAGUAUUUCGGUAUGUAAAGCUCUAUCAGCAGGGAAGAAAAUGACGGUACCUGACUAAGAAGCCCCGGCUAACUACGUGCCAGCAGCCGCGGUAAUACGUAGGGGGCAAGCGUUAUCCGGAUUUACUGGGUGUAAAGGGAGCGUAGACGGUUAAUCAAGUCAGAAGUGAAAACCCAGGGCUCAACCUUGGGACUGCUUUUGAAACUGCGUAGCUAGAUUGCAGGAGAGGU